AAAUGUGAGGACAAUCUGGCUGUGAUAUCUUUCACCCCAUUGAUUACCAGGGCUGAUUCAACUGAUCUGUCUGGCCAAGCAUGUGUCCCUUCUUCCCUCACCACUCCAUGUGUUUUCCUCCCAAAAUGGCAAGCCCAGUGGAAGAAGACAACCAGCAAGAACAGUGGUUCUCAACUUUC
Molecule: small nuclear RNA, 179 nt
Filed under: Anolis carolinensis (green anole)
Lineage: Eukaryota; Metazoa; Chordata; Lepidosauria; Squamata; Anolidae
Description: 7SK RNA
Rfam family: 7SK RNA
About the family: 7SK was discovered as an abundant small nuclear RNA in the mid-70s but a possible function has only recently been suggested. Two independent studies have found that 7SK RNA binds the CDK9/cyclin T complex (known as elongation factor P-TEFb).
Source: Rfam by way of RNAcentral